Molecule: transfer RNA, 76 nt
Filed under: Bacteroidota bacterium
Lineage: Bacteria; Pseudomonadati; Bacteroidota
Also listed under: 1 other name
Description: Bacteroidetes bacterium (marine metagenome) tRNA-Lys
Rfam family: tRNA
About the family: Transfer RNA (tRNA) molecules are approximately 80 nucleotides in length.
Source: RNAcentral
GCGCCAUUAGCUCAAUUGGUAGAGCAGCGGACUCUUAAUCCGUUGGUUCCAGGUUCGAGUCCUGGAUGGCGUACCA